AAAGAGAAAGUGACUGAGUGGCGGGACGGGGUGGAGUAAACGCGUGGGGUAAACCUGCCAUACAACAGGGGGAUAACAGUUGGAAACGACUGCUAAUACCGCAUAACCUGCUAGUGCCGCAUGGCACAGACAGAAAAGAUUUAUCGGUGUAUGAUGGACCCGCGUCUGAUUAGCUAGUUGGAGGGGUAAGGCCCACCAAGGCGACGAUCAGUAGCCGGCUUGAGAGAGUGAACGGCCACAUUGGGACUGAGACACGGCCCAAACUCCUACGGGAGGCAGCAGUGGGGAAUAUUGCACAAUGGGGGAAACCCUGAUGCAGCAAUGCCGCGUGAGUGAAGUAGUAUUUCGGUAUGUAAAGCUCUAUCAGCGAGGGAAGAUAAUGACGUACCUGACUAAGAACGCCCGGCUAACUACGUA
This 417-nucleotide ribosomal RNA is filed under the name uncultured Pseudobutyrivibrio sp. RNAcentral's name for it is "bacterial SSU rRNA". It matches the Rfam family "Bacterial small subunit ribosomal RNA", at positions 80 to 507 of the family's 1533-position model. Lineage: Bacteria; Bacillati; Bacillota; Clostridia; Lachnospirales; Lachnospiraceae. The record is from RNAcentral.